Molecule: ribosomal RNA, 298 nt
Filed under: uncultured bacterium
Lineage: Bacteria
Description: partial 16S ribosomal RNA
Rfam family: Bacterial small subunit ribosomal RNA
Source: RNAcentral
CCUACGGGGCGGCAGCCGCGGUAAUACGUAGGGUGCAAGCGUUAUCCGGAUUUAUUGGGCGUACAGGGCUCGUAGGCGGUUCGUCGCGUCCGGUGUGAAAGUCCAUCGCUUAACGGUGGAUCCGCGCCGGGUACGGGCGGGCUUGAGUGCGGUAGGGGAGACUGGAAUUCCCGGUGUAACGGUGGAAUGCGUAGAUAUCGGGAAGAACACCAAUGGCGAAGGCAGGUCUCUGGCCGUUACUGACGCUGAGGGGCGAAAGCGUGGGGAGCGGACAGGAUUAGAUACCCCGGGAGUCCAC